AGAGUUUGAUCCUGGCUCAGAAUCAACGCUGGCGGCGUGCCUAACACAUGCAAGUCGAACGAGAAAGGGUAGCAAUACCUGAGUAAAGUGGCGCACGGGUGAGUAACACGUGACUAACCUACCUUUUAGUGGGGGAUAACCUAGGGAAACCUGGGCUAAUACCGCAUAACACUUACGAGUCAAAGCAGCAAUGCGCUGAAAGAGGGGGUCGCGGCCGAUUAGCUAGUUGGCGGGGUAAUGGCCCACCAAGGCAGUGAUCGGUAUCCGGCCUGAGAGGGCGCACGGACACACUGGAACUGAAACACGGUCCAGACUCCUACGGGAGGCAGCAGUGGGGAAUUUUGCGCAAUGGGGGAAACCCUGACGCAGCAACGCCGCGUGGAGGAUGAAGCCCCUUGGGACGUAAACUCCUUUCGAUCGGGACGAUAAUGACGGUACCGGAAGAAGAAGCCCCGGCUAACUUCGUGCCAGCAGCCGCGGUAAUACGAGGGGGGCAAGCGUUGUUCGGAAUUAUUGGGCGUAAAGGGUGCGUAGGUGGUUCGGCAAGUCUUGUGUGAAAUCUUCAGGCUCAACUUGAAGUCUGCAUAAGAAACUGCCGGGCUUGAGUAUGGGAGAGGUGAGUGGAAUUUCCGGUGUAGCGGUGAAAUGCGUAGAUAUCGGAAGGAACACCUGUGGCGAAAGCGGCUCACUGGACCAUUACUGACACUGAGGCACGAAAGCUAGGGGAGCAAACAGGAUUAGAUACCCUGGUAGUCC
RNAcentral lists this ribosomal RNA (756 nucleotides) under uncultured bacterium. RNAcentral describes it as "bacterial SSU rRNA". It matches the Rfam family "Bacterial small subunit ribosomal RNA", at positions 8 to 796 of the family's 1533-position model. The record is from RNAcentral.